UGGUCAAGUUAUUAGAACAGGAGGCGGAUGCCUUGGCACUAGAAGGCCAGUAGAAGGACGUGAUGAGCUGCGAUGGCUUCGAGGGAGUUGCACGUAAACUUUGAUCGAGAUUUUGAAUGAGGAAACUCACUUAGAGUAAUGUCUAAAAUCAUUAAAGUGAAUACAUAGCUUAAUAGGGGAACUCAGGGAACUGAAACAUCUAAGUACCUGAAGGAAGAGAGAAAUUCGAUUCCGUGGUAGCGAGCAGACGCGGAUUAGCUAACCAAUAAGUUUUCUUUAUUGGGGUUGCGAACAUAUCAUAACGAAGUAUCGUAAUUUGAAGAGUUUGGAAAGACCCACCACAGAAGGUAGUGCAACAUGUUAAACGAAGACUUCAGAUAUGAUCUAAGAGUACCACAGGACACGUGAAACCCUGUGGGGAAGCAGGAGAGGAAUGCCCUCAGGAGCUAAAUACUACCUAGUGACCGAUAGUAUAGUACCGUGAGGAAAGGUGAAAGAACGGGAGGAAGUGAAAUAGAACCCUGAAACCCUGCUUACAAGCUGUGGGCUUUAUUUCUUGUGUGACCGUACUUUUUGUAGAACGAGGUAAGCAAGUUACGUUAAGUAUGAGUUAAACACUUAGGUGCAGACCGUAGCGAAGUUUAACUAGGCGUUCAGUUAUGACGUAGACCCGAAACCCGGGCGACCUACCCAUGAGCAGGAUGAAGCGAAAAUGCAAAAUUUCGUGGAGAUUACGCCGAGCGUUGAAAAGCUCGGGGAUGACUAAUGGGUAGCAGUGAAGUCAAUCGGAACCCGGAGAUAGCUGGUUCUCCCAGAAAUAGCUUUGAGACAGCCUCAAGGUGAGAGAUACGAGGAGGUGAGCUGCUGAAUGUCCUGGGGGUGUGCACCUGCAGAGACUAUCAAACUCGAAUGCGUGUGUAUGGGGAAUGGACAUACGGGUGAUAAGAUUCAUAGUCGAAGAGACAGCAUGGAGAAUCGUCCUUCUGGGUCCCACUAAAUGUAAGUUAAGUGGUAAAGGUUGCUGGGAUUGCACAGACAGCCAGGAUGUUGGUAAGCCACUCAUUCAAAGGAGUUGUAGCUCACUGGUCAGUGAUCAAGACAGGGCUAAAACUUACUACUGAAGCUACGGCAUCAGUAAUGAUGGGUAGGGAGCUUCUAUACAGGUUCAGAGCAUGAUGUAAGGACAUGUGGACAGUAUGGGGUAGAAUGUUGGCAUGAGUAGUGAGAUGUGGGUGAGAAUCCCACAGGCCAUGAGCCAAGGUUUCCAGGGGAGGUUCGUCCGCCCUGGGUUGAGUCGGGGCCUGCUGAGGCCAGAAAGGCGUAGGUGAUGGACAACAGGUUGAUAUUCCUGUACUACCGAUAACCGUUUUGAAGAAGGGAUGACACAGUAGGAUAAGCUAAACACUACUAUUGGUUAUGUGUGCCCAAGCAUUAGGAGCAGUCAAAGUAAGAGCAAAUCCGCUUUGAUAAUGCUGGGAUGUGAUGGGAGCGAAAUUUAGUAGCAGAAGUGGCUGAUUUCACACUGGCCAAGAAAAGUCUCUAUCGAGGUUAAAGGUACCCAUUACCGCAAACCGACACAGGUGGAGUGAGGAGAGUAUCCUAAGGCCAGCAGAGAACUGUUGUUAAGGAACUCGGCAAAAUGACCCCGUAACCCAGGGAUAAAGGUGCCACCAUCGGGUGGCCGCAGAAUAGGCCAGCGACUGUUUAAACGGUUUCCUGCAAGACGAUGUAUGAGGCUGACGCCUGCCCGGUGCUGGAAGGUUAAGGAUCUGUUAGAGUAAUCGAAGGCGGUGAACUUAAGCCCCAGUGAAACGGCGGCCUGUAACUAUAACGGUCCUGGGUAGCGAAAUUCUUGUCGGGUAAGUUCAAACCCGCACGAAAGAGCGUAACGGUUUUGACUUUCAUCUCAACAACAACGAACUCCGGUGAAAUUGUAAUUCCACGUUGAAGAUGUGGACUGCCUGCGUCAGGACGGAAAAGAUUAUGGAGCUUUACUGUAACUGACAUUGGGUCUUGGUACUACAUGUACAGGAUAGGUGGAGGCUUUGAAACCAGGACGCCAGUUUGGAGCCAUCCUUAAGGAUACCACUGAGUACUGGGACUCUAACCAUGGGCCAUGAAUCUGAGAUGUACGGACACUGUCAGGUGGGCAGUUUGACUGGGGCAGUCCUUCUCCCAAAAGUAACUGGAGGCACUCCAAAGGUUCUCUCAGUACGGUCGGAAAUCGUACGUAGGUGUAGGCAAACGAUUGCAGACAUACAAUUCAAACAGGAUAAUCGGACUUAGUGAUCGGUGGUUCUGCAUUAGGUAUCGCUCAACGGAUAAAAGCUACCCUGGGGAUAACAGGCUUAUCUCCCCCAAGAGUCCACAUCGACGGGGAGGUUUGGCACCUCGAUGUCGGCUCAUCACAUCCUGGGGCUGUAGUAGGUCCCAAGGGUUGGGCUGUUCGCCCAUUAAGAGAGUACACCGGAUGGGGUUGGGAUGAGAUGGUGUACCUCUAGAUAGCCUGAAUUGUCCCUGCACCAAGGGCAUGGCUGGGUAGCUAUGUACGGAAUGGAUAAGCGCUGAAAGCAUCUAAGCGCGAAGCCAACUUCAAGAUAAGAUUUCCCACCGCAAGGGUAAGACCCCAGAAAGACUAUCUGGUUGAUAGGUCGAAGGUGUAAGUGCAGCAAUGUAUUUAGCUUAUCGAUACUAAUAGGUCGAGGACUUGACCAAU
This 2716-nucleotide ribosomal RNA is filed under the name Clostridioides difficile. Its description in RNAcentral is "23S ribosomal RNA". It matches the Rfam family "Bacterial large subunit ribosomal RNA". Lineage: Bacteria; Bacillati; Bacillota; Clostridia; Peptostreptococcales; Peptostreptococcaceae. The record is from RNAcentral.